RNAcentral lists this transfer RNA (73 nucleotides) under Schistocerca americana (American grasshopper). Its description in RNAcentral is "tRNA-Ile". The stretch from base 6 to 66 matches the Rfam family "tRNA", at positions 6 to 65 of the family's 71-position model. From Rfam's summary of the family: Transfer RNA (tRNA) molecules are approximately 80 nucleotides in length. Their secondary structure includes four short double-helical elements and three loops (D, anti-codon, and T loops). The record is from RNAcentral. RNAcentral also lists the same sequence under 1 other name. Lineage: Eukaryota; Metazoa; Arthropoda; Insecta; Orthoptera; Acrididae.
GUCCAGAUGGCUUAGUGGUCAGAGCAUCUGCCUAAUAAGCAGGAGACCCAGGUUCAAAUCCUAGUCCAGCACA